AAAAAGGCUCUUUUAAGAGCCAACUCCAGUAUCCCCGGAAGAUGCUGU
Mesocricetus auratus (golden hamster) is the source of this 48-nucleotide non-coding RNA. The record is from Rfam. NCBI's taxonomy places the organism in Eukaryota, Metazoa, Chordata, Mammalia, Rodentia, Cricetidae.